UCCGCAUCUCCUCUCUUCUCUUUCGUCAGAAGAUCUCUCCACCCUCGCAAGAUCUCUGCCUUCAUCGCUCUCCAUCUUCUCUACCACCUCCGUUAAUGGUUGAAGAAUUGAAUGAGUGGUAUCUCUGUCUUCCAUCAUUUGAUGUCACGCUCACCGUUCACCACCACUCCACGGAGGGUGGAGGAUGCAGAAAAAGCUUGAUGGUGGAGGAUGCAGAAGAAGCUUGAUGGUGGAGGAGACAAGACCAGCCGUGGUCGUAGUGGCUGUUGUACGGCGGAGGCAAGGCCACACAUGGCGGCUGGAGGAGGCAAGGCGAGGCAGGCAUGGCCGCUUAUUUUUUUAGGGUUGAAUUUUUUUUAAUGAUUUGGUUAAGUUAUCUAAACCUAAUUUUAUUUUAAACCAAUUUCAUUUUGUAAACCGAGUUAUUUUUAUUUCGAUUUAUAGAGUAACCAAUUGAAACUGAGAUGUUACUACUACUGUCAUACUUUGUGAGGUUUAAUUAUGACAAAUUAAUAACAUAAUGAAGGUUACAAAAUACAAAUAUUUUGUUACACAAUUAUAGUAACGGAUAAAUAUUAUUUCGUUCGUCAUUGAUCAUUAUGUUUUGUGACUAAAUUUUUGAUUAUAAUAGGCUACAAAAAAGAUUGACCAAAAAAAAGGCUACACAAUUAAUAUUUUAAAUUAGUUAUAAAUAAUGACAGUUUGGGGCAAUAUAUAUAAUGUCAGUAUCGGUGACACAGUAAAAAAACUAUAAUGUCGUCAAUAUUAGUGACAUUUUGUGACAAUAGAUCCGUUACUAGAAGUGAUAUAGUUGUCACAUUAAAUAGUCACAAAUUAAGACAGUUUGAUACAAUUUAAUAAGUAAGAAAUUACUACAGUUUUGUUAUUAAUAUACAACGUAACUAUGUGUGACGAUUUGUUACAAAAAAUUUAGUCGCAAGAAAUUGUGACAUUUUUGUUACUCCAGAAAAUUUAUGACACACGUAUUGCAACCAUUAAUAAUUGGUCACAAAAACGUAACUAUGAUAAUAUUGUUACGAAUUCUUUGCUAUCGUGACGGAAAAUUUCGUCACAAUACAUUUAUUUUCUUGUAGUGGGGUGAUCUAUCGGGAAGUGAUUCGCGAUAUCGUGCGAAUGAAGCCAAAACACGGGAAAAUGUCAUGUGGUGAUUGCAGGGUCAGGAAACAAGACUUUCGGGCCUUAGAAAAAUUAAUGCACCAUCUGUCGGCUCGGUCGCUACAUAGAGACCGAGCUCAAGCCAAGCUCGGUCGCAACAUAGCGAACGAGCACGAACACGGCUCGGUCGCUACGUAGCGACCGAGCUCCAGCCAAGCUCGGUCGCUACGUAACGACCGAACUUUCCCAAAACGUCGAUACGACACGAAUCCAUGCAUUAUCGUCUACUUUUUAAUGCUAUCUCCCGUAGGCCAUGGUUAAACCAUUCUUUGUUUCUUAUCACUCAAAGUCAUCAAUCAAACUUUAUGAUAAAAACCGUGGGAAAUUUGUUUUUAUCGAAGAAACCAUAAUAAACGUUUCAAGUCAAAGAAGGCCCAAAGAGACCUAAAACGCAACUCGAAGCCCACUUACAAUUUCUUAACUGAAAACCCAUAAGCCUUAUGACGGUUUAUGCUUGGUUCGUAGGGCAAGAUAAAUGUCAAGUUUUCCGCGGAUAAAUGUGAAAUUUCCGAAGAUAAUCACGAAGAUCGGGAAAAUUGGAAUAUCUCCAUUUUUGAGCUAUGACGGCUUAAGGGCAAAAGGGGAAAGGCGCAAACCGACCUAGGAUCAAGUAUAUAAGUAGUCCUAGGUGAGAGGCAAAGGGGAUGAGAGACACAGCAAACUCUCGGCACUUAGAAACUUUAAGGCAUUAUUCUCAACAUGCUCUAUUUCUAUGACUGGCACCCGAUUACCAGAUGAACGCCACAAGCAGUUCGAUCUCUUGGUUCACUCCUGAACUACAUUCGGCUUGAUCCUCGAA
Molecule: long non-coding RNA, 1975 nt
Organism: Brassica napus (rape)
Lineage: Eukaryota; Viridiplantae; Streptophyta; Magnoliopsida; Brassicales; Brassicaceae
Exons: 3
Source: RefSeq, a predicted model, not a curated record